AUACGGAGGGUGCAAGCGUUACUCGGAAUCACUGGGCGUAAAGCGCGCGCAGGCGGUCUUUUAAGUUGGAUGUGAAAGCCUACGGCUCAACCGUAGAACUGCAUCCAAAACUAUUAGACUAGAGUGUGGGAGAGGAAGAUGGAAUUAGUUGUGUAGGGGUAAAAUCUGUAGAGAUAACUAGGAAUACCAAAAGCGAAGGCAAUCUUCUGGAACACUACUGACGCUGAGGCGCGAAAGCGUGGGGAGCAAACAGGAUUAGAAACCCUAGUAGUCC
RNAcentral lists this ribosomal RNA (274 nucleotides) under uncultured bacterium. Its description in RNAcentral is "partial 16S ribosomal RNA". It matches the Rfam family "Bacterial small subunit ribosomal RNA", at positions 523 to 796 of the family's 1533-position model. The record is from RNAcentral.